RNAcentral lists this long non-coding RNA (914 nucleotides) under Salmo salar (Atlantic salmon). Its description in RNAcentral is "lncRNA (ENSSSAG00000115216.1)". Lineage: Eukaryota; Metazoa; Chordata; Actinopteri; Salmoniformes; Salmonidae. The record is from RNAcentral.
CUUGACAAAAAUUUAACCUUCUGUUCCGAGGAUGAAAGGACGACGGCCCAUACGUUAAAAAGGACUAACAUGUCAACUACAGAACUAAGCCAACCUCAGCGUGAGCUUUGGUUGUGAAUGGUAUGAACUUUGAACUGUUAUUCACUACAGAAGUGAUACCUCCUAGCCGUUGAGUUAGCAGCGGCCACUCUAAACGUGGGCUAGGAAAGGACGGACGACGUGUCCAGUCUAUCACACAACGACGAUACUACAACGUAUACCAUUUACCACCAGAGACAUUCUUCCGAGGACAGCAAGAUCUCUGCUGGGCAACACGGCCAGCAUCUACGACCAACCUACCGAAGCGCAGCUCAGAGCCGGUGGUAGCUGGUCCACUGCAGGACGCUGAGGUGCGGGGGCCAAGGCGUACACAGUCCGGGCCAUCCUGGACUCCUGACGUCGGGAUCCGUGACACAUAGACUGUUCUCUCUACUACCGCAAGGCAUGUGGUGCCGGAGUGCCAAGUCUAGGAAAAAAAGGCUUCUCAACAGUUUUUACCCCCAAACCAUAAGACUCCUGAACAGGACUACCUGGCUUGAUGACUCCUUGCUGUCCCCAGUUCACCUGGCCGUGCUGCUGCUCCAGUUCCAACUGUUCUGCCUGCAGCUAUGGAACCCUGACCUGUUCACCGGACGUGCUACCUGUCCCAGACCUGUUGUCCCAGACCUGCUGGAACCCUGACCUAUUCACCGGACGUGCUACCUGUCCCAGACCUGCUGUUUUCAACUCUCUAGAGACAGCAGGAGCGGUAGAGAUACUCUCAAAGAUAGGCUAUGAAAAAGCCAACUGACACUUACUCUUGUGUUACUGACUUGUUGCACCCUCGACAACUACUAUGAUUAUUAUUAUUUGACAAUGCUGGUCAUUUAUGAACA